UUAGCAUAUCAAUAAGCGGAGGAAAAGAAACCAACAGGGAUUGCCCUAGUAACGGCGAGUGAAGCGGCAACAGCUCAAAUUUGAAAUCUGGCUCUCUUUGGGGGUCCGAGUUGUAAUUUGCAGAGGAUGCUUUGGCAUUGGCGGCGKUCUAAGUUCCUUGGAACAGGACAUCACAGAGGGUGAGAAUCCCGUACGUGGKCGCCUGCCUUUGCCGUGUAAAGCUCCUUCGACGAGUCGAGUUGUUUGGGAAUGCAGCUCUAAAUGGGAGGUAAAUUUCUUCUAAAGCUAAAUACCGGCCAGAGACCGAUAGCGCACAAGUAGAGUGAUCGAAAGAUGAAAAGUACUUUGGAAAGAGAGUCAAAAAGCACGUGAAAUUGUUGAAAGGGAAGCGCUUGCAGCCAGACUUGCCCGCAGUUGCUCACCUAGGCUUUGGCCUGGGGCACUCUUCUGCGGGCAGGCCAGCAUCAGUUUGGGCGGUYGGAUAAAGGCCUCUGUCACGUAUCUCCCUYCGGGRUGACCUUAUAGGGGAGGCGUAAUGCRACCAGCCCGGACUGAGGUCCGCGCAUCUGCUAGGAUGCUGGCGUAAUGGCUGUAAGCGGCCCGUCUUGAAACACGGACCAAGGAGUCUAACAUCUAUGCGAGUGUUUGGGUGUCAAGCCCGGGCGCGCAAUGAAAGUGAACGGAGGUGGGAACCCUUUGGGUGCACCAUCGACCGAUCCUGAUGUCUUCGGAUGGAUUUGAGUAAGAGCAUAGCUGUUGGGACCCGAAAGAUGGUGAACUAUGCUUGAAUAGGGUGAAGCCAGAGGAAACUCUGGUGGAGGCUCGCAGCGGUUCUGACGUGCAAAUCGAUCGUCAAAUUUGGGCAUAGGGGCGAAAGACUAAUCGAACCAUCUAGUAGCUGGGUUUCCUGCC
This 912-nucleotide ribosomal RNA is filed under the name Didymosphaeria variabile. Its description in RNAcentral is "eukaryotic LSU rRNA". It matches the Rfam family "Eukaryotic large subunit ribosomal RNA", at positions 35 to 962 of the family's 3401-position model. The record is from RNAcentral. Lineage: Eukaryota; Fungi; Ascomycota; Dothideomycetes; Pleosporales; Didymosphaeriaceae.